This 253-nucleotide ribosomal RNA is filed under the name uncultured bacterium. RNAcentral describes it as "partial 16S ribosomal RNA". It matches the Rfam family "Bacterial small subunit ribosomal RNA", at positions 524 to 776 of the family's 1533-position model. The record is from RNAcentral.
CACGUAGGGUCCGAGCGUUGUCCGGAAUUACUGGGCGUAAAGCGCACGUAGGCGGAUCUUUAAGUCAGGGGUGAAAUCCUGGAGCUCAACUCCAGAACUGCCUUUGAUACUGAGGAUCUUGAGUCCGGGAGAGGUGAGUGGAACUCCGAGUGUAGAGGUGAAAUUCGUAGAUAUUCGGAAGAACACCAGUGGCGAAGGCGGCUCACUGGCCCGGUACUGACGCUGAGGUGCGAAAGCGUGGGGAGCAAACAGG